GAUUCUUGUUGAGAGCAGGAUUCAUCGACUUGCUCGCUACUAUAAGAAAACAAAGAAGCUUCCACCAGUCUGGAAGUACGAGUCUACCACCGCGAGUACUCUUGUGGCUUAGAGAAGGUCAUGGAUUGGGAUUACAAGUUUGUUGGUCAAGUCCCAUCUUCAUAAUUACAGACUUAAGUUGUUUUUGUAUGAGAGACCAGGUUGUUUGAAACUUUGAAUGGAACAAAUUUUGUUUUAUGAGAGAUGAUAAGGGGAACGUUUCCUACUUUAAAUUUGCAUCCAAUUCUCUAAUUACUAGUCGUGUAUAUAUAUAGCUGCUGUUAAUUUCGGUGGUUAUUAAAGUUUUGGAAAUGAGCUUAUUAAUUGUGCCACAUAAAACUAAUAGAUG
This 388-nucleotide unclassified non-coding RNA is filed under the name Hevea brasiliensis (rubber tree). The record is from RNAcentral. Lineage: Eukaryota; Viridiplantae; Streptophyta; Magnoliopsida; Malpighiales; Euphorbiaceae.